AUUGCAUUCAAAACUUAACUGAUACUAGUGAAAGGGGAUAAGACGUCCACAAUUCAUCAUGAAAACAACACUCUUGUGCAUCAUGAUUGUUUCUAUCAUCGUUUCUGUGGCGAUAGCUAGUAAUAACGAGUGCAACGGCAAGGAACCCAGGGUUUACGGAACUAAGGGCAACAUGCAAAGGUGUACAUGCCACGACGACCCCAACGGCGAGAAUGGGGAACGAUGGACAUGCUCAUUUCAUUUUGUUCAAAUGUAAACUUGUGAAAUUAAAAACAAAUCGAGGGUUAGAAAGCUUACCUUACUUUAUACGAACGAGCCCAUGUAAACAAUUGUGAGUGUGAGUGUUUUAUGCUUGAUGAGUGCAAUUUGUAAUCAGGCGUUUAAAAGUCUAGUUUAAACCCUAUAUAAUUGAUCCCAACCCCUAAAUAAUCCGUCCCAGUUAAAUAGUAGCAUAAUUUAUUUUUAACACCAUGUACUAAAUGUACAAUUAAAACAGAUCAAAUUUUAAA
Dreissena polymorpha is the source of this 509-nucleotide long non-coding RNA. RefSeq lists it as uncharacterized. The transcript has 3 exons. The record is from RefSeq and is a predicted model, not a curated record. Lineage: Eukaryota; Metazoa; Mollusca; Bivalvia; Myida; Dreissenidae.